ACAAAGGCUUGGAAAAGAAGAAGUAGUGAUUCACACACCCAUACAGAAAGCUGCCGGUUGAUGAGAGGCGCAUGAAAGAGUGAAGAAUGAAUACGUCUUGGAGCUGCACACCGAAAUGAUACACGAUAAGAAUUAUGAGUGUUUUCGAAAGUAGGCUGUGACGUCGGGCACACGUUAUAGUGCAAAGGUCUGUGAACACGCAGAUUGAAUGAGGCUGAAUACACAGGUAAUCAGCGAAAUAAGGUGGUACCACGGUUAAUAUCGUCCUUAUC
Molecule: non-coding RNA, 272 nt
Filed under: Dorea longicatena
Lineage: Bacteria; Bacillati; Bacillota; Clostridia; Lachnospirales; Lachnospiraceae
Description: T-box sequence
Rfam family: T-box leader
About the family: Uncharged tRNA acts as the effector for transcription antitermination of genes in the T-box leader family. T-boxes are found upstream of many aminoacyl-tRNA synthetase genes and some amino acid biosynthetic genes usually in Gram-positive bacteria.
Source: RNAcentral